Molecule: ribosomal RNA, 750 nt
Filed under: uncultured bacterium
Lineage: Bacteria
Description: bacterial SSU rRNA
Rfam family: Bacterial small subunit ribosomal RNA
Source: RNAcentral
CAGGCCUAACACAUGCAAGUCGAGCGCUUGGGGUGUUCCCUUACGGGAAACCCCCUGGAGCGGCGGACGGGUGAGUAACACGUAGGCAACCUGCCUGUAAGAUCGGGAUAACUACCGGAAACGGUAGCUAAGACCGGAUAGCUGGUUUCUCCGCAUGGGGGAAUCAUGAAACACGGGGCAACCUGUGGCUUACGGAUGGGCCUGCGGCGCAUUAGCUAGUUGGUGGGGUAAUGGCCCACCAAGGCGACGAUGCGUAGCCGACCUGAGAGGGUGAUCGGCCACACUGGGACUGAGACACGGCCCAGACUCCUACGGGAGGCAGCAGUAGGGAAUCUUCCGCAAUGGGCGCAAGCCUGACGGAGCAACGCCGCGUGAGUGAUGAAGGUUUUCGGAUCGUAAAGCUCUGUUGCCAAGGAAGAACGCCUCGGAGAGUAACUGCUCUGAGGGUGACGGUACUUGAGAAGAAAGCCCCGGCUAACUACGUGCCAGCAGCCGCGGUAAUACGUAGGGGGCAAGCGUUGUCCGGAAUUAUUGGGCGUAAGGCGCGCGCAGGCGGUCUUUUAAGUUUGGUGUUUAAGCCCGGGGCUCAACCCCGGUUCGCACUGAAAACUGGGAGACUUGAGUGCAGGAGAGGAAAGCGGAAUUCCACGUGUAGCGGUGAAAUGCGUAGAGAUGUGGAGGAACACCAGUGGCGAAGGCGGCUUUCUGGACUGUAACUGACGCUGAGGCGCGAAAGCGUGGGGAGCAAAC